Molecule: ribosomal RNA, 364 nt
Filed under: uncultured Anaerolineaceae bacterium
Lineage: Bacteria; Bacillati; Chloroflexota; Anaerolineae; Anaerolineales; Anaerolineaceae
Description: bacterial SSU rRNA
Rfam family: Bacterial small subunit ribosomal RNA
Source: RNAcentral
GGACCGACCCUUCGGGGAGCUGUUACAGGGUGUUGCAUGGCUGUCGUCAGCUCGUGUCGUGAGAUGUUCGGUUAAGUCCGCUAGCGAGCGCAAACCCGCGUUGUGUGUUAUAUGUGUCACACAAUACCGCCGGGUAUUAAGCCGGAGGAAGGUGCGGAUGACGUCAAGUCAGCAUGACCUUUAUAUCCAGGGCUACACACACGCUACAAUGGACAGUACAACAGGUUGCCAAGGCCGCGAGGCGGAGCCAAUCCUCUAAAGCUGUCCUCAAGUUCAGAUUGCAGGCUGCAACUCGCCUGCAUGAAGUUGGAGUUGCUAGUAACCGCAGGUCAGCUAUACUGCGUUGAAUACGUUCCCGGGGCUU